RNAcentral lists this ribosomal RNA (432 nucleotides) under uncultured bacterium. RNAcentral describes it as "bacterial SSU rRNA". It matches the Rfam family "Bacterial small subunit ribosomal RNA", at positions 96 to 524 of the family's 1533-position model. The record is from RNAcentral.
UGGCGGACGGGUGAGUAAUAUAUCGGAACGUACCCAGGAGUGGGGGAUAACGUAGCGAAAGUUACGCUAAUACCGCAUACGACCCAAGGGUGAAAGUGGGGGAUCGCAAGACCUCAUGCUCAUGGAGCGGCCGAUAUCUGAUUAGCUAGUUGGUGGGGUAAAGGCUCACCAAGGCAACGAUCAGUAGCUGGUCUGAGAGGACGACCAGCCACACUGGAACUGAGACACGGUCCAGACUCCUACGGGAGGCAGCAGUGGGGAAUUUUGGACAAUGGGGGCAACCCUGAUCCAGCAAUGCCGCGUGAGUGAAGAAGGCCUUCGGGUUGUAAAGCUCUUUUGUCAGGGAAGAAACGAUCCCCUCUAAUACAGGGGGUUAAUGACGGUACCUGAAGAAUAAGCACCGGCUAACUACGUGCCAGCAGCCGCGGUAAU